UACGGAGGGAGCAAGCGUUGUUCGGAAUUACUGGGCGUAAAGAGCGCGUAGGCGGCCUGUUAAGUCGCCUGUGAAAGGCCGGGGCUCAACCCCGAGCACUGCAUGCGAUACUGCAUGGCUAGAGGGAGGUAGGGGCGAGCGGAAUUCCCGGUGUAGCGGUGGAAUGCGUAGAUAUCGGGAAGAACACCUGUGGCGAAGGCGGCUCGCUGGACCUUUACUGACGCUGAAGCGCGAAAGCGUGGGGAGCAAACAGG
RNAcentral lists this unclassified non-coding RNA (254 nucleotides) under uncultured Gemmatimonadota bacterium. RNAcentral's name for it is "uncultured Gemmatimonadetes bacterium contains 16S-23S intergenic spacer region". It matches the Rfam family "Bacterial small subunit ribosomal RNA", at positions 524 to 776 of the family's 1533-position model. Lineage: Bacteria; Pseudomonadati; Gemmatimonadota. The record is from RNAcentral.